RNAcentral lists this ribosomal RNA (1436 nucleotides) under uncultured organism. RNAcentral describes it as "16S ribosomal RNA". It matches the Rfam family "Bacterial small subunit ribosomal RNA". The record is from RNAcentral.
CGAACGCUGGCGGCGUGCUUAACACAUGCAAGUCGAACGGAAAGGCCCUGCUUUUGUGGGGUGCUCGAGUGGCGAACGGGUGAGUAACACGUGAGUAACCUGCCCUUGACUUUGGGAUAACUUCAGGAAACUGGGGCUAAUACCGGAUAGGAGCUCCUGCUGCAUGGUGGGGGUUGGAAAGUUUCGGCGGUUGGGGAUGGACUCGCGGCUUAUCAGCUUGUUGGUGGGGUAGUGGCUUACCAAGGCUUUGACGGGUAGCCGGCCUGAGAGGGUGACCGGCCACAUUGGGACUGAGAUACGGCCCAGACUCCUACGGGAGGCAGCAGUGGGGAAUAUUGCACAAUGGGCGGAAGCCUGAUGCAGCAACGCCGCGUGCGGGAUGACGGCCUUCGGGUUGUAAACCGCUUUCGCCUGUGACGAAGCGUGAGUGACGGUAAUGGGUAAAGAAGCACCGGCUAACUACGUGCCAGCAGCCGCGGUGAUACGUAGGGUGCGAGCGUUGUCCGGAUUUAUUGGGCGUAAAGGGCUCGUAGGUGGUUGAUCGCGUCGGAAGUGUAAUCUUGGGGCUUAACCCUGAGCGUGCUUUCGAUACGGGUUGACUUGAGGAAGGUAGGGGAGAAUGGAAUUCCUGGUGGAGCGGUGGAAUGCGCAGAUAUCAGGAGGAACACCCAGUGGCGAGGGCGGUUCUCUGGGCCUUUCCUGACGCUGAGGAGCCGAAAGCGUGGGGAGCGAACAGGCUUAGAUACCCUGGUAGUCCACGCUGUAAACGGUGGGUACUAGGUGUGGGGUCCAUUCCACGGGUUCCGUGCCGUAGCUAACGCUUUAAGUACCCCGCCUGGGGAGUACGGCCGCAAGGCUAAAACUCAAAGGAAUUGACGGGGCCCCGCACAAGCGGCGGAGCAUGCGGAUUAAUUCGAUGCAACGCGUAGAACCUUACCUGGGUUUGACAUGGAUCGGGAGUGCUCAGAGAUGGGUGUGCCUCUUUUGGGGUCGGUUCACAGGUGGUGCAUGGCUGUCGUCAGCUCGUGUCGUGAGAUGUUGGGUUAAGUCCCGCAACGAGCGCAACCCUUGUUCACUGUUGCCAGCACGUUAUGGUGGGGACUCAGUGGAGACCGCCGGGGUCAACUCGGAGGAAGGUGGGGAUGACGUCAAGUCAUCAUGCCCCUUAUGUCCAGGGCUUCACGCAUGCUACAAUGGCUGGUACAGAGAGUGGCGAGCCUGUGAGGGUGAGCGAAUCUCGGAAAGCCGGUCUCAGUUCGGAUUGGGGUCUGCAACUCGACCUCAUGAAGUCGGAGUCGCUAGUAAUCGCAGAUCAGCAACGCUGCGGUGAAUACGUUCCCGGGGCUUGUACACACCGCCCGUCAAGUCAUGAAAGUUGGUAACACCCGAAGCCGGUGGCCUAACCGUUGUGGGGGAGCCGUCGAAGGUGGGACUGG